Molecule: ribosomal RNA, 258 nt
Filed under: uncultured bacterium
Lineage: Bacteria
Description: partial 16S ribosomal RNA
Rfam family: Bacterial small subunit ribosomal RNA
Source: RNAcentral
CGGACGGGUGAGUAACACGUGAGCAACCUGCCUUUCAGAGGGGGACAACAGUUGGAAACGACUGCUAAUACCGCAUAAAAUAACGGAACCGCAUGAUUCUGUUAUCAAAGGAGAAAUCCGCUGAAAGAUGGGCGUCGCGUCUGAUUAGAUAGUUGGUGAGGUAACGGCCCACCAAGUCGACGAUCAGUAGCCGGACUGAGAGGUUGAACGGCCACAUUGGGACUGAGACACGGCCCAGACUCCUACGGGAGGCAGCAG